Molecule: long non-coding RNA, 3607 nt
Organism: Leucoraja erinaceus (little skate)
Lineage: Eukaryota; Metazoa; Chordata; Chondrichthyes; Rajiformes; Rajidae
Exons: 2
Source: RefSeq, a predicted model, not a curated record
GGGCUCAGAGGAGUUGUAAUUUGCCGAUUAGAAUUCAGAGGGUAAAUAUAUAAUGGCAAGAUCCUGCACUGCUCCGAUGCACAGCGAUUUUGGGGUCCAUAUCUCAUUGAAGACAGCAACGCAAGUAGAUAGAGUGGUAAAGAAAGGAAUGGUAUGCUUGCCUUCACUGUUGGGGGCACUGAGUAUAAGCAUCCGAAGGUCAUAGUGCAACGUUACAGGACUUUGUUGAGGCUGAGUCUGGAGUACGGGGUGCUUUCCUGAUUGCUCCAGUACAGGAAGAAUGUGGGUGCUUUGGAAAUGGUGCAGAGGCUUUUUCCAAGGAACAUAGUUGUGAUUUUUGUUGUUUUUUCCUGGGAUGCAAAUAUCAAAUUCCAGAAACAUAGCUUUGAGGUGACAGGAGCAGAGUUGAUGCAGGUUUCACAAUAUUAGGAGAUGAAAUAAUGAAUUGCAAAUGGUACUGUACAAAACAGGCACAAAGUACAGGAGUAACUCAGCCAGUCAGGCAGCAUCCCUGGAGUUCAUGGACCGGUUACAUUUCUGAUGGAUAGUUAACAUUUCAUCUACUUUCUCUUGUGGCUCGUUCCAUUUACCCACCACCCUCUGCACAAAAAAGUUGCCCGUCGGAUUUUGAUUAAAUCUUCCCCUUCUUAACAAACUUAUGCUCUCUGGUUCUGGAAUCGCCUUCCUUAGAAGAAGAAUCUGUGCAUUAAAUGCCUCCUCGUUAUUUGAAUCUCCUCUAAGAUCACUCCCUCGUGCUCUUGUGCUCCAGGGAAUAAAAUCCAAUCCUGCCAAAACUCUAUAGCUCCGGCCCCUCAAUCCUUUGCAGUAUUCUUGUAAAUCUUCUCGGCAUUCUUUCCAACCGAAUCCAACUUGCUUGUCUUUUUUGAGGAAUGCUGGUGAUUGUUGACGUACGGGCCGUGGAUGUAGUCUGGCAAGGCACGUGUUGCCGGGUAAGCUGAUCCUUUAGAUUGAGGUGUAUGGGAUCCAUGGUGAUUUGGUAGCUUGGAUUCUGAUCAGGCUUACCCACAAAAAAUCGAAAGGGCGUUAUCAGUUUAGUUGUAGUUUUGCAAUACAGCGCGGAAACAGGCGCGGAAACGGCCCAGCGGGUCCAGGCCGACCAGUGAGCCACACACAUUAACACUAUCCUACAAACAUGAGGGACAAUUUUCACAUUUAUACCCAGCCAAUUAACCUACAAACCUAAACCUCUUUGGAUGGUGCGAAGAAACCGAACAUCUCGGAGAAAACCCACGCAGGUCACGGGGAGAGCAGCUGGAGGACCGAUGGUGUUCUGCAAUGAUUUGUGCAAAGAUAGUGGGAUAUGAGAGAGCAUAGCUUUAUGAUCAGACAAAGAAAGGUUGGAGGAGCCGGACAAUGCGCUACCCCAAGGGUACAUGCGGUGAGGGGGGAUGGUGUUAUCAAAUAGGUAGUGACGGUGAAGAGGCAUUUAGGAGACACAUGAUUGAAGAGAUUGCAGCUAUAUCGAUCGUGUGCAGUCACAGGAGAUUAACUUGCAAUCAUGUAUGACACAGAUGUGCGGUAAAAGGGAAACGUGCCUCACUGUUCCAGGUUGUAUGUCAGUAAUGGGAUGUGUUAUAGAUAAACACUGGGGAUUAGCUCCAUCUCCUGUCUCUCCGUCUGCUACCUGAACAUUCUCUCAUUUCCAGGCUGUGGGGGAAUGGUCUCACAGAUUCUUGCACGGAGGAUCUCGUCGCCGCUCUCAGCGCAAAGUGCUCAGUGACUGACGUGGAACUGGGAUCAAACUCGUUCUCGGAGCGAUCAGUCCCCGCUCUCUGCCGCCUCACACUGGCUCUCCCGAGUCUGCAGUGGAUCGGGUUCCGGGGGAAUCAGUUCAGUUCGAAUGGAGCAAAGCAGCUGCAAGGAUGCAGGUCGAAGCUGACCGUGGCGAUCUGAACAUCAGAAUGAAUUGACCGACUGUCCAAAUGGUGCCAGCACAACAACCUGGCUCUCAACAUCAGUAAGACCAAGGAACUAAUUGUGGACUUUGGGUGGGGAAGGAUGAGGACCCACAAUCCUGUUCACAUCAAUGGGACGAUGGUGGAGAGGGGCAAAAACUGCUAGGUGUGCAUAUUCCCGAAGAACCUUCCUGGACCCAGCACACUGGUGCAAUUAUAAAGAAGGCACAUCAGCGACUGCUUCCUGAGAAGAUUACGGCGGUGUCGGAAGAGGUUUCUCCUAAACUUCUACAGGUGCACGGUAGAGAGCAUUCUGACAGGUUGCAUCGUGGCCUGGUUCGGCAACUUGAACGUCCAGGAGCGAAAAGGUCUACAAAAAGUUGUGACACUGCCCAGUCCAUCACCGGCUUUGACCGAUCCACCGUCAAAGGAAUCUAUCAUAGUCCCUGCCUCAAAAAGGCAGCCAAAAUCAUCAGACCCACACCAUCCUUGCCACACACUCGUUUCAGCAUUGCCAUCAGGAAGAAUUUACAGGAGCCUGAAAACUAACGUCCAGAUUCAGGAACAGCUUCUUCCCUGCAGCCAUCAGGCUGUUAAACACAACAACAAAUAAGCUCUGAACUGCAACAGAGUAUAUUAUUAUUGCACUAUAUUUGUUAUUUAUUGAACUUUUUUUUCUCUUGCCCCAUUAUGUACUAUGUUUGCAUAUUCACAUAUUCUGUUGUGCUGCAGCAAGUAAGAAUUUAAUUGUCCCAUCCGGGACUUGUGACAAUAAAACACCCUUGACUCUUGAAUAAACAUCACCAUCGAUGCAGUGGGAAUAUUUUUGGUCAAUUUUCCGACCUCCUUUAUAAAAGAGCUCUGCUUUGCUUUGAUGCUGCGCUGUACCUAAAAUGUUGCACUAACCUUUCAUGCGAGGUUUCACAACUAGAUACAUUUUUCCAAUAGAUUUGGAAACAUGAAUCACAUAAUAUUUGGUGCAUGUAACACGUGUUAUACAGUCAACUUCAGUUAAUGGCAGAUGAAUGUAACUUAGUUAUUCUCCAUUGGAACGCCAAGUCAGCUGUUUGCAGCAUACCGAAUAUUUUUUUUAUAUACCUUGCGCUACUGUAGACAAUAGGUGCAGGAGUAGGCCAUUCAGCCCUUCGUGCCAGCACCGCCAUUCAAUGUGAUCAUGGCUGAUCAUCCCCAAUCAGUACCUCGUUCCUGCCUUCUCCCCUUACCCCGUGACUCUGCUAUCUUUAAGAGCCCUAUCUAGCUCCAGAGAACCGGCCUCCACUGCCCUCUGAAGCAGAGAAUACCGCAGACUCACAACUCUGUGUGAAAAAGUGUUUCCUCGUCUACGUUCUAAAUGGCUUACUCCUUAUUCUUAAACUGUGGCCCCUGGUUCUGGACUCACCCAACAUCGGGAACAGGUUUCCUGCCUCUAGCGUGUCCAAACCCUUAAUAAUCUUAUAUGUUUGGGCUCCAUACAAGCUGCUCUAAGAAUCCAGCACGGAGGCACUCUACAAACUCCCUUUCUUGGGGUCCAGUCCCAACCUGAUUUUCCCAGUCUUCCUGCAUGUUGAAAUCUCCCAUAACAACCGUAGCAUCACCUUUACUACAUGCCAACUUGCCCUGAUAAUGUGUACACCCAUUGGAUUCCAUAGGAUUCGGGAUCAUGCAUUGCGUAAAAUAAACUGGUUGCCAAC